GAUGAACGCUGGCGGCGUGCCUAAUACAUGCAAGUCGAGCGAACAGACGAGGAGCUUGCUCCUCUGACGUUAGCGGCGGACGGGUGAGUAACACGUGGGUAACCUACCUAUAAGACUGGGAUAACUUCGGGAAACCGGAGCUAAUACCGGAUAAUAUAUUGAACCGCAUGGUUCAAUAGUGAAAGACGGUUUUGCUGUCACUUAUAGAUGGAUCCGCGCCGCAUUAGCUAGUUGGUAAGGUAACGGCUUACCAAGGCAACGAUGCGUAGCCGACCUGAGAGGGUGAUCGGCCACACUGGAACUGAGACACGGUCCAUACUCCUACGGGAGGCAGCAGUAUGGAAUCUUCCGCAAUGGGCGAAAGCCUUACGGAGCAACGCCGCGUGAGUGAUGAAGGUCUUCGGAUCGUAAAACUCUGUUAUUAGGGAAGAACAAAUGUGUAAGUAACUAUGCACGUCUUGACGGUACCUAAUCAGAAAGCCACGGCUAACUACGUG
This 497-nucleotide ribosomal RNA is filed under the name uncultured bacterium. RNAcentral's name for it is "partial 16S ribosomal RNA". It matches the Rfam family "Bacterial small subunit ribosomal RNA", at positions 28 to 507 of the family's 1533-position model. The record is from RNAcentral.